AAAUUUUCCGACGGAAAAUUCUGUCGGAAAUUUCCGACAGAAAUAUCUGUCAAAAAUAUCCGUCAGAAAUUUCUGACGGAAAAAUCCAUCAGAAAUU
This 97-nucleotide microRNA precursor is filed under the name Cajanus cajan (pigeon pea). Its description in RNAcentral is "miRNA gene-KK1_050556". Lineage: Eukaryota; Viridiplantae; Streptophyta; Magnoliopsida; Fabales; Fabaceae. The record is from RNAcentral.